This 541-nucleotide ribosomal RNA is filed under the name uncultured bacterium. RNAcentral's name for it is "bacterial SSU rRNA". It matches the Rfam family "Bacterial small subunit ribosomal RNA", at positions 8 to 521 of the family's 1533-position model. The record is from RNAcentral.
AGAGUUUGAUCCUGGCUCAGAAUGAACGCUGGCGGCGUGCUUAACACAUGCAAGUCGUACGAGAAAUCCUCUGCUUGCAGGGGAGAGUAAAGUGGCGCACGGGUGAGUAUCGCGUGGGUAAUCUACCCUUGGAUUCAGGAUAACACUUCGAAAGGGGUGCUAAUACUGGAUAAUAUCCUGAUGGUUUUGGCCAUAAGGAUCAAAGAUAGCCUCUACAUGUAAGCUAUUGUACAAGGAUGAGCCCGCGUACCAUUAGCUAGUUGGUGGGGUAAGGGCCUACCAAGGCAACGAUGGUUAGCUGGUCUGAGAGGAUGAUCAGCCACACUGGAACUGAAACACGGUCCAGACUCCUACGGGAGGCAGCAGUGAGGAAUUUUGCGCAAUGGGGGAAACCCUGACGCAGCAACGCCGCGUGAGUGAAGAAGGCUUUCGGGUCGUAAAGCUCUGUCAAGAGGGAAGAAAGUGGGGGAUGGUAAUACUGUUUUCUAUUGACGGUACCUCUGAAGGAAGCACCGGCUAACUCCGUGCCAGCCGCCGCGGU